This 497-nucleotide ribosomal RNA is filed under the name uncultured bacterium. Its description in RNAcentral is "partial 16S ribosomal RNA". It matches the Rfam family "Bacterial small subunit ribosomal RNA", at positions 28 to 507 of the family's 1533-position model. The record is from RNAcentral.
GAUGAACGCUGGCGGCGUGCCUAAUACAUGCAAGUCGAGCGAACGGACGGGAAGCUUGCUUCUCUGAUGUUAGCGGCGGACGGGUGAGUAACACGUGGAUAACCUACCUAUAAGACUGGGAUAACUUCGGGAAACCGGAGCUAAUACCGGAUAAUAUUUUGAACCGCAUGGUUCAAAAGUGAAAGACGGUCUUGCUGUCACUUAUAGAUGGAUCCGCGCUGCAUUAGCUAGUUGGUAAGGUAACGGCUUACCAAGGCAACGAUGCAUAGCCGACCUGGGAGGGUGAUCGGCCACACUGGAACUGAGACACGGUCCAGACUCCUACGGGAGGCAGCAGUAGAGAAUCUUCCGCAAUGGGCGAAAGCCUGACGGAGCAACGCCGCGUGAGUGAUGAAGGUCUUCGGAUCGUAAAACUCUGUUAUUAGGGAAGAACAUAUGUGUAAGUAACUGUGCACAUCUUGACGGUACCUAAUCAGAAAGCCACGGCUAACUACGUG